UACGAAGGGGGCUAGCGUUGCUCGGAAUCACUGGGCGUAAAGGGUGCGUAGGCGGGUUCUUUAAGUCGGAGGGUGAAAUCCUGGAGCUCAACUCCAGAACUGCCUUUGAUACUGAGAUCUUCGAGUUCGGGAGAGGUGAGUGGAACUGCGAGUGUAGAGGUGAAAUUCGUAGAUAUUCGCAAGAACACCAGUGGCGAAGGCGGCUACUGGUCCCGGUACUGACGCUGAGGUGCGAAAGCGUGGGGAGCAAACAGGG
This 256-nucleotide ribosomal RNA is filed under the name uncultured bacterium. RNAcentral describes it as "partial 16S ribosomal RNA". It matches the Rfam family "Bacterial small subunit ribosomal RNA", at positions 524 to 777 of the family's 1533-position model. The record is from RNAcentral.